AGAUGUGAGGGAGAUCUGGCUGCGACAUCUGUCACCCCAUUGAUCACCAGGGUUGAUUUGGCUGAUCUGGUUGGCUAGGUGGGUGUGUCCCCUUCCUCCUUCAAUGCUCCAUGUGUGUUCCUCCCAAAGCUGUGCACUUGGCCAAAGAGGAUGACCUCCUCGAUUUUUUAAUAUUUUUGCUGAGUGCUGG
Molecule: small nuclear RNA, 190 nt
Filed under: Acanthisitta chloris (rifleman)
Lineage: Eukaryota; Metazoa; Chordata; Aves; Passeriformes; Acanthisittidae
Description: 7SK RNA
Rfam family: 7SK RNA
About the family: 7SK was discovered as an abundant small nuclear RNA in the mid-70s but a possible function has only recently been suggested.
Source: Rfam by way of RNAcentral